GGCUGGUCCGAACAUACUGAGUUCUCUCAACUGAUUGUUAACAGUCAAUUGCAAAUGGAAAUGCUUGUUCUAUUUCUUUCCCUCUUCUUACUACUGCACUUGACUAGCCUAAA
Molecule: Y RNA, 113 nt
Filed under: Mandrillus leucophaeus (drill)
Lineage: Eukaryota; Metazoa; Chordata; Mammalia; Primates; Cercopithecidae
Description: Y RNA (ENSMLEG00000011580.1)
Rfam family: Y RNA
About the family: Y RNAs are components of the Ro ribonucleoprotein particle (Ro RNP), in association with Ro60 and La proteins.
Source: Rfam by way of RNAcentral